Molecule: long non-coding RNA, 590 nt
Organism: Oreochromis aureus
Lineage: Eukaryota; Metazoa; Chordata; Actinopteri; Cichliformes; Cichlidae
Source: Ensembl
CCCACAUCCACGCUCACGCAGAAACGCACAUCCAAGUGAUGUACACACAUACACACACAUUCCACCGGUGACUCUGUAGUCAUCGCCUUGCUUCCAGACACCGACGUGCUUUUGGAUUUAGCAGCCGGUGCCUCCUCUCAGCGAUGGUGUAAGGAGCUGCCAGAGGCAACUGGAGUUAAUGUGAGACCACUUAUACUGAGAUGUUAGUCCCUUCCAAUUAGCAUCAACUCUACAAGGAUGGGGAUUUAAAGGAGAGUCUGUAGCUCUCUGCUCAGGGACAGUCUUCUGCAGCCCUUCUGUGAUCACAGGCCUACCUGGCAUUUCUCAUCCAUAUCCUUCUUCUUUCCAUUCACCCAUCUUUCCCCGUCAUGAAAGGCCUGUCCAGUAGCCGGGGUCACCAUCAUGUGGUCUCCUAUGAACCAUCAUAUGAUCCACUGGGUCACCAUGUUGACCGCAAGCCAUAUUUGAUCAGUCAGAUGGACAUGCCUGUGCCCAUUCCCAUGCCACAUCCAGCUGAGCUGCCCUACUACAAUGCUCAGCGUACCUCAUACCCCUCUGACAGCAACAGCAUCGUCCCAUAUGGAACCUUC